AGUGAACGCUGGCGGUAGGCCUAACACAUGCAAGUCGAACGGCAGCACAGUAAGAGCUUGCUCUUACGGGUGGCGAGUGGCGGACGGGUGAGGAAUACAUCGGAAUCUACUUUUUCGUGGGGGAUAACGUAGGGAAACUUACGCUAAUACCGCAUACGACCUACGGGUGAAAGCAGGGGAUCUUCGGACCUUGCGCGAUUGAAUGAGCCGAUGUCGGAUUAGCUAGUUGGCGGGGUAAAGGCCCACCAAGGCGACGAUCCGUAGCUGGUCUGAGAGGAUGGUCAGCCACAUUGGAACGUAGACACGGUCCAGACUCCUACGGGAGGCAGCAGUGGGGAAUAUGGGACAAUGGGCGCAAGCCUGAUCCAGCCAUACCGCGUGGGUGAAGAAGGCCUUCGGGUUGUAAAGCCCUUUUGUUGGGAAAGAAAAGCAGCAGGUUAAUACCCCGCUGUUCUGACGGUACCCAAAGAAUAAGCACCGGCUAACUUCGUG
This 492-nucleotide ribosomal RNA is filed under the name uncultured bacterium. Its description in RNAcentral is "partial 16S ribosomal RNA". It matches the Rfam family "Bacterial small subunit ribosomal RNA", at positions 29 to 507 of the family's 1533-position model. The record is from RNAcentral.